UUCCAGACUCCUACGGGAGGCAGCAGUGGGGAAUAUUGCACAAUGGGGGGAACCCUGAUGCAGCGACGCCGCGUGAGUGAAGAAGUAUUUCGGUAUGUAAAGCUCUAUCAGCAGGGAAGAAAAUGACGGUACCUGACUAAGAAGCCCCGGCUAACUACGUGCCAGCAGCCGCGGUAAUACGUAGGGGGCAAGCGUUAUCCGGAUUUACUGGGUGUAAAGGGAGCGUAGACGGCGAUGCAAGCCAGAUGUGAAAGCCCGGGGCUCAACCCCGGGACUGCAUUUGGAACUGUGUGGCUGGAGUGUCGGAGAGGCAGGCGGAAUUCCUAGUGUAGCGGUGAAAUGCGUAGAUAUUAGGAGGAACACCAGUGGCGAAGGCGGCCUGCUGGACGAUGACUGACGUUGAGGCUCGAAAGCGUGGGGAGCAAACAGGAUUAGAUACCCCUGUAC
RNAcentral lists this ribosomal RNA (447 nucleotides) under uncultured bacterium. RNAcentral describes it as "bacterial SSU rRNA". It matches the Rfam family "Bacterial small subunit ribosomal RNA", at positions 329 to 793 of the family's 1533-position model. The record is from RNAcentral.